RNAcentral lists this long non-coding RNA (1138 nucleotides) under Gadus morhua (Atlantic cod). Its description in RNAcentral is "lncRNA (ENSGMOG00000024429.1)". Lineage: Eukaryota; Metazoa; Chordata; Actinopteri; Gadiformes; Gadidae. The record is from RNAcentral.
UUGAUUCCCCGUGUGGGAUUCAUAAAGUUGAUCGUAUCUUAUCUGCUUGUGGAUGUUUUAUUGGUAAAAAUGUGUGUGUGUGUGUAUGUGUGUGUGUGUGUGUGUGUGUGAGUGUGUGUGUGUGUGUGUCGUACAGGUAAACCAGUAAUCCUCUUUAGUUAGUUAAUGAUUGAUUAAUGACAGCUCUAACUCAGCUACAGAUCUGUUUGAUGUGAGGUGUUUCUGACAGCGUGGAUAAGAUCUCUUUUCUAUGUUUCUUUGGUUUGUUGUCUUGUCUGUUUCCUGACUUUUAAAAGUCUGUAAUCCUUUUCUUCUCCUUCAAAGUGAUAAAUGUCUUUCCUUAGCUUUUUAUCCGAUUGUAUUUUGAUACGUUGGGAGUCCCAUGCUAUCACUGCAGACGAUACAAAGUACAGCAGAACUUAAUACCCUUGACGUGACUUUAGUUCCACUGUUUUAACCUCCACCAUCGUGACUGGGUCAUGGUGGUUUUAUAGCUUUAUAUGGACCUCCUCAAACCUUUGCUCUGUCUUGAUACAGUUAUGGGUGUGUUCUGGUGAAGCCCAGCCCUGACCAUCAUAAAGGUUCCAGGUGUAGUCAGCUGUCGUUCAAAGCCUCCUUCCUCAUUCCAUCUGUCCUCACUGAGGAGCCCAGCAGCUCAAUCUGUACUCAGAACCUUUAGAACCGUGUUCACGUUCUGUCUCCGUUCUGAACACUUACUUUGUGUUUUGGCGAACACCUGAAUCUCUUCCUUCAACUGAUCUUACUUUCCAUCCUUUUGUGCUUUUAUAUUUUCAUACAACACGGGACAGCACACCUUUCACCACAGAGAAGCUAAGGUGUGUGUGCGGCCGUUGCUAGUCAGAACCAUUUGACGUGACAUGUGGUAAGUUCACAUUGUAAAUAGCUCCCGAAGGUUGAUAAGUUUAAGAUCGAGGAUGUAUGUUUAUGUUAUGAACCUCGACAUAUUAGAUGAUUGUAUAAUUGAUAUGUUAUUAUUGUUUUUAUAGUUUGUCACUUGGUAGGGAGUUUAUUCAUAUUUUUAGUUUGACCACAUGUUACUGGUUAGCUAUGUUGGAUGUCCGCUAGCAAUUCAAGUGUUUUGUUUUACUCGUGCAGAUCCUGCUGUACAAAUCACAAA